CUAGAAGAUAUUUCAAAAAGAAAAAGAAGUGAUAGAAGUUGAUACAGAGGGUAGGGUUUGGUGUGAAAUCUUCUUGCUUGAGAGCUGAAGGUAUUGAGUUUCCCUUGAUCAUGGAGUGUGGGGAGAUCGACAGUUAUUUGCGAUGGAGAAUGCGAGUCUCUUCUCUCAGUUGCCCAAGCAAUAAAAGAAAUCAAGGUGUGAUCUCUUGUGAUGAUUCUAUAUUUAUUGUACUUCUCUCUUAUGGAGAACAUAUUUCUUUACCAUGAAUUGGAGAGUAGUUUUAAUUCUUUUCAAUUCGUUUGUGCAAUCUCCGACAUGGUUUAUGGGACCAUGAUCGAUGACAAGACUGUGUUGAUUUCAGAAUCUACGAAGGAAAUCAUCCCAAACAUUUUGUUUGGAAACAACGGCCAUGAAAACAACCAUAUGUCAAACUAGUCGAGUUCGCCCUAGCCAUCGACAAACUUUUUUUCCGGUUUGCCUCUCCGGCGUCCGGCUUUUGCCGGCGCUGUGAGAGGUGUCUCUCCCCUGCCUUUGUUAACAGUUCUUCAACCGUGGAAGAGAAAUCUAGAUUGGUGUGAGUUGAGGCGGUACUUGAUGAGAUCUGAGCCUUUGGUUGGCAAUGGAGUUGUUGUGAGCUGAAGCCGUGGGGGUGGUAGAGUGGAGUGUGGGAUCGAGGUUUGCUUGUUGACUGUUGUCUCCUUUGUGACAUGUUCCGCUUAGGAACUGUGUUUCUUUGAGUGGUGGUUUUUAUUGGUGGUUUAUCAAUGGUUACCGGCUCUGUAUUGAAAAGGAUCCUGUUUGUGGUGCUUCGUUUGGCAUGUCUAGUGUGGAGUCGCAUCGGAGCGCGCGGAUAGACCAUUCACGUCAGAGGCGGUGGCCGCCGGAGAAGUGGUGCUUUGUUAGGCAUGUCCGUGGUGUGGAGUCGCAUCGGUGACAUAUGGAGAGCCCAUUCACAGUCCAAUGGUGUGUCUUGUUUGGAUAUGGAGACAGCUCUACAGCUACGGAUAUUUAUUGCAAGGGCCAGCAAAUUAUGAAUCCAAAUUUUGGGUCAUAGUUGUUUUUGAAUUGAUUGAACAAUUCUAAGUUCUCAUAGUUUCAAUAGAUUGGAAGCUUUUUAAUGAGACAUAGAUCCUCAAUUCUUGGCUUGUUUAUGGGAAAUCUUCAAGGUUCAUCGUGAGAAUAAACUCUCUGGUCGUUGGACCAUUCAUUUGCGAUGAAGAAUCAAGCUGCUAUGGUAAUCAUGGAUAAUGUUAUACGUGAUCUAAUAGUGCAGUUUUACAAAGCUGAGAAUGCAUACAUCUCAUGGUUACGUCACCCUUGGAUGAAGAAGCCAGGGUUGCUGAAAAGAUGAUGGAAGUUGGUCUGAAAUAACCAUGUUUGUUGGUUAGAUCUACCUUCUUUUUUGCUUUGUUUUAUGUUCUUGUUAAGCUUAUUUAUACCACCUACUGGUGGGUGUAUGUGCUGAUCCUAGAACUUUGUUUCUGUACCAAUUUCAAUAAAUUAGUGUUAAAAAAAAAAAACAACAACCAUAUGGUAUGUUAUUAUCAUGGAGAUGAAAGUUUCUAGUGGA
Brassica napus (rape) is the source of this 1570-nucleotide long non-coding RNA. RefSeq lists it as uncharacterized. The transcript has 2 exons. The record is from RefSeq and is a predicted model, not a curated record. NCBI's taxonomy places the organism in Eukaryota, Viridiplantae, Streptophyta, Magnoliopsida, Brassicales, Brassicaceae.